RNAcentral lists this small nuclear RNA (187 nucleotides) under Pogona vitticeps (central bearded dragon). RNAcentral's name for it is "U1 spliceosomal RNA (ENSPVIG00000025429.1)". It matches the Rfam family "U1 spliceosomal RNA". Rfam says of the family: U1 is a small nuclear RNA (snRNA) component of the spliceosome (involved in pre-mRNA splicing). Its 5' end forms complementary base pairs with the 5' splice junction, thus defining the 5' donor site of an intron. Lineage: Eukaryota; Metazoa; Chordata; Lepidosauria; Squamata; Agamidae. The record is from Rfam by way of RNAcentral.
ACUCAUACCCGGCAGGGGAGAUACCAUGAUCGUGAAAGUGGUAUCUCAUCCAUUGCACUUCAGGCAUCCGUAAGUGGUAUCUCAUCCAUUGCACUUCGGGUGUGAUGAUCCCUGUGAUUUCCCCAAAUGUGGGAAAAUCAACUGCCUAAUUUGUGGUAGUGGGGUACUGCGUUUGUGGAUUCCCCUG